AUUGAACGCUGGCGGCAUGCCUUACACAUGCAAGUCGAACGGUGACAGGUCUUCGGAUGCUGACGAGUGGCGAACGGGUGAGUAAUACAUCGGAACGUGCCUAGUAGUGGGGGAUAACUACUCGAAAGAGUGGCUAAUACCGCAUGAGAUCUACGGAUGAAAGCAGGGGAUCGCAAGACCUUGUGCUACUAGAGCGGCCGAUGGCAGAUUAGGUAGUUGGUGGGAUAAAAGCUUACCAAGCCGACGAUCUGUAGCUGGUCUGAGAGGACGAUCAGCCACACUGGGGCUGAGACACGGCCCAGACUCCUGCGGGAGGCAGCAGUGGGGAAUUUUGGACAAUGGGCGAAAGCCUGAUCCAGCAAUGCCGCGUGCAGGAUGAAGGCCUUCGGGUUGUAAACUGCCUUUGUAUGGAACGAAAAGCCCUGGGUUAAUACCCUGGGUCAUGACGGUACCGUAAGAAUAAGCACCGGCUAACUACGUGCCAGCCGCCGCCGUAA
This 497-nucleotide ribosomal RNA is filed under the name uncultured bacterium. Its description in RNAcentral is "partial 16S ribosomal RNA". It matches the Rfam family "Bacterial small subunit ribosomal RNA", at positions 30 to 523 of the family's 1533-position model. The record is from RNAcentral.